Long non-coding RNA from Camellia sinensis, 1023 nucleotides. RefSeq lists it as uncharacterized. Lineage: Eukaryota; Viridiplantae; Streptophyta; Magnoliopsida; Ericales; Theaceae. The record is from RefSeq and is a predicted model, not a curated record.
UUUUUCUUCUCGUAUUAUUUAGAUCUUUUUCUUAAGACCAGCAAGAUCCGGCUAUAUAUGUUUCCACAAAAUCAACACAAUAUGGCUCCCGUGUAUGAUCUUAUUUGUCAACCUUUUAUGCUUUAGAAAUGUUUAGAUAAGAGAAUGUUUCGAAGUAAAUGUAUGUUAUUUGAUUAUACUUUUCUUUCUUUGGUUAGAAUGAUAUACUAAGAAGGAACCCUGCAAAUCACUAACUUAAUUUGUGAAUAUAUACCCAAUACAAUUGUGUGAUUAGGUGUCUAAAGUAUUUGAAUGCUUGUGUACAUAUCUUUCAUUGUGUAGAUAUAUGAUUUUUUGGGUACUGAUAUUCUUUCCGUUGUAUACAGGGAUUCUUUGUUAUUCUUUCAUGGAUGCCUAUAUAUUUUAAAACAUCAAUUGGUUUUGUUGGUCCUGGGAUUGCGCUCAAUGGUCUAACCAUGGCAAAGCACACAUCAAUAGCAUCUGCUUGGCUUACUUUAGCUGUUGGGCUAAAAUCAUUUAGUCAUUGUGAGUUCCUUGUGAAUCUUCAGGUCUCUUAAGAAGUAAGGUUUCAAAGGACAAUUUAAAGGAGGAGGUAUCCCAUGAACUCGUAGAUCGCCGUUUUGGUAAGUCCCGCUUGUUUUAUGUUUUUAUUUUUCUAAUGUUGGUUAGUAUAUACUAGUUAAAGCAUAACAAUUUCACUAAUUAUUAACUAAGAUUUAACAAGUUCGAAGAUGUAUUUAAUGAAAAUAGAUUCAUUAGUUACUUCUUAGUUAGCAUGAUCCUUAUUAAAAUACACAUUAACCAAAAUAGAGACAAAAUUAGGUGUAUAUUUUUUUGUGUAUUUUUGCUAGGUAGUGUUGGAGUUGCUCUAAUUUAGUGAUGUGAUUAAUAGGAGCUUGUCAUGUAUAAAGGAACUUUUGGUUGUUAAGCUAGACUCAUUGUGUACACAAUUUGUAUUGACAUGGAUAAAGAGGUCUAUACAAUGUAAUUGAUAAUAUCUUAAUUUUUUUUUUUUUUUGUUUA